UUCCCAUGCUUGAAGGCUUCCAAACUCAGGAGCAGGUAAAUCUUUUACUCUGGCAAGUUGAUCCAUCAAUGGUUUGAGUUGUGCCUCCACCCUAUGAAGCAUGUCUUCCAACUUUUCACGGCGGCGUCUCCUAUCAUUGUCAUCCCCAUCGGUGGACCCUUGAGAAGCUAGCUUGUCGCUCUCUGCCACUAGUUCCCCAUUGCAACUCUCACAG
This 214-nucleotide unclassified non-coding RNA is filed under the name Hevea brasiliensis (rubber tree). The record is from RNAcentral. Lineage: Eukaryota; Viridiplantae; Streptophyta; Magnoliopsida; Malpighiales; Euphorbiaceae.